AUCCAGUUAACGAGUCCCAAAUAGGACGAAACGCGUGUCCUGGAU
This 45-nucleotide non-coding RNA is filed under the name Schistosoma mansoni. The record is from RNAcentral. Lineage: Eukaryota; Metazoa; Platyhelminthes; Trematoda; Strigeidida; Schistosomatidae.